RNAcentral lists this unclassified non-coding RNA (380 nucleotides) under Hevea brasiliensis (rubber tree). The record is from RNAcentral. Lineage: Eukaryota; Viridiplantae; Streptophyta; Magnoliopsida; Malpighiales; Euphorbiaceae.
CAAUAAGUUUAUUAUAUAUAUUCUUUUCAAAAUAACAAAAAAAAAAUUAAGUGCUAUAUUUUUUAAACUUAUAUAUAUAAAAACACAAUCUCAACUAAAUUUACAAAUAGUGUAUUAAAACGAAUAUAAACACAUUAUUUUCUUUUUUUCACUUUGAGGUGUGGAAAACAAAUUCAAUGGCAAUGCUUUCUAUGUAAAAUAAAUUUAAUGCUCUAUUUAGUUUUAGUAUAUAAUAAUUUUCAUUCUUAAAAUUUUAUAUAUGAGAAGAUAUUACUUAUACACAAAAUAAUAUCAAAAUUUUUUAAGAUAAUACAAAAAAAUAGAUUUUAAGCUUGACACAAAGAUUGAGCUCAUACCUUUCUAAAGGAGAAAUGUGGCUG